Molecule: ribosomal RNA, 534 nt
Filed under: uncultured bacterium
Lineage: Bacteria
Description: bacterial SSU rRNA
Rfam family: Bacterial small subunit ribosomal RNA
Source: RNAcentral
AAUAGAUACCCUGGUAGUCCUAGCUGUAAACGAUGAGCACUGGGUUGGAGGGGACUUCCACAUCCUCUCGGCCGUAGCGAAAGCGUUAAGUGCUCCGCCUGGGGAGUAUGGCCGCAAGGCUGAAACUCAAAGGAAUUGACGGGGGCUCACACAAGCGGUGGAGGAUGUGGCUUAAUUCGAGGCUACGCGAAGAACCUUAUCCUAGAUUUGACAUGGUUGAGAAUCUCCUUGAAAGAGGAGAGUGCCCUUCGGGAGCUCUUUCACAGGUGCUGCAUGGCUGUCGUCAGCUCGUGUCGUGAGAUGUUGGGUUAAGUCCCUUAACGAGCGAAACCCUUAUCUUUAGUUGCCGAGCGGGUAAAGCCGGGGACUCUAAAGAGACUGCCGGUGUCAAACCGGAGGAAGGUGGGGAUGACGCCAAGUCCUCAUGGCCUUUAUGCCUAGGGCUGCACACGUCCUACAAUGGCACGUACAAAGGGAAGCCAAGCCGCGAGGCCGCGCUAAUCCCAAAAAGCGUGCCCCAGUUCGGAUUGCAGG